UUCUAGCUGUGAACUGAAGUGACGGUUCUGCAACGUUUCCUCACCCUGCCACUGACGUCGCAUUGCUUACGCCCAGACAACGCUUUGGUCCAGCUAGCUGACACUACGGCAAUGGAAAUGGCUGUUUGUGGCUCGCACUUACACCUUUUACAAGGUUAAAACUUGUUAGCAACGCUUGAAGACUCUCCAGGGAUGAGCAGAAUAUUCACCUGUUUGUCACUGCCUAUUGCCAAGACAACAGACUAGGUAGACACCAGGAAGAGGAAAACCUUGUCUUACCAGAGGAGCAGUUAUCGAAGUUGAGAUCUCCGCAGAUUACAUCAAAAGCCACCAGCUCCUCUGGAUUGGCUGUACUGGAGGAGGAGGUAUGUGUAAGUACAGGUUUUGGUGGGCAGGACUUCAGCAAGAACGAACCAGAUCCUGUUCACCAGUUGCAAGGAAGUUACUCCAGGCUACGUGUGCUGUGGAUGUGCCCCCGUUCAUGGAAGUGACGGGAGAGGGUUGAGACUGACUGGUUGCCAAGUAUUUUUCGUUUGUGAAGCCAUGUGGCACACAAAACAGCUCUUUAAUUACAGCAGCUAACCACACUUAAUUUCAAGCACAUUAGGUGACAUGAAGUCUAAAAAAAAAAUUAAUUACUGGCUCUCUUAAAAUGAUUACAGCAAAAGCUUGAUGUGGGGAAAGGAGCAUGAAGAACAUAUUCUAGAAAUAAUUGUUUACCGUCUUGUCUUCCCUUUCCUUUUGUUCUCACUGUACUUACAGUUGACAGUUUUGCUUGUUUCAGAUUUGAUAUCUCAAGUCAGAACAACAUUACUUUUCUUCAAAAUCAAAGGUUUGUUUUCAAAUGCCACAAUCGGGAGAGCAGCAGACCCAGAUGACUUAUUCUGACUACAGUUUUAUUUUAACCUGAUUUACUGCUUUGUGCUAGCUAUUACAAAGGCGUAAAACGCAAUUAAAAACAUUAGUUCUGUAUGUCCAAAGCUGCUUUCAGUGGCCACUAUGGAGAUGGCGAACAUUUAAGUCUAUAUGCUCCACAGCUUGUUAAUCACUAGUCUCAACCGCUUAAAUGUGAGCUCCGCAGCACGCUGUAACUGUGUUAGUGGACAGAUAAACUUCAGAGUUUAGGACUUCACCUUCCUACCACUAUUAAACGGUGAAGGGUGGGAUUUUCUAGGGAGUAGAGGGGUAAAACAACAGUUAAAUACAAAGUGAAUCAGAAAUGUUCAACCAAGCAUGAUUUGAUACAAUUCUAAAUGAAAGAAAUAUCAAAAAGAACACGACUAGGGACAGAGCGAGCUCUAAGCAGGUUCUGACACCAACUUACCUCUUCAGGCUGGUAACUCCCAACAGCAAAGAAUCUUGGUGGUUUUUUUUUUCUUUCACUCGUGUUAUUCCCAACAAAUCUUUAUCAGUUGGGCUGUAAUAUAAAAGCAGCUACAAGUGCUUCCUGGAUCUAUUCCCCAACCUACAGUUUCUAGCUCCUUGUACCUCCAGUUCAUGCAGUACCCCAAUCGCACAAAUCCAGACCGGUGUAUUCUGGGGAAAACCCCUUGCUACAACAGCACAAGAAAGCCCUACCGUGAAGAUGUAGCUAGACAAAAGCACAAAAAAUAGGUCAUGUGGAAUAAUACAGCCCGGAGCAGGUGACACCAACCACAAAAGGUGUGCGUGACUAACAUAUACGUUCUGCUUAACUCGAGCUACAGAUAAAACUACAGGUUCACAGAAAGCAUGAGCUUGAAAGGGAGCGCUGGAGAUCGGCUAGGCUGACCCCUCUGCUCAAGUGGGGGCACCUGCAGCAGGCUGCUCAGGACCGUGCCCAGUCAGGCUUUGAGUAUCUCCUAUGGCCAGAGGCACCAUAACCUCUGGGUAACCUGUGCCAGUGCUUAGUCACCCUUGCAGUAACAAACAUUUUCCUUUGUUUAAAUGACAUUUCUUGCAUUUCAGUUUGUGCCCAUUGCCUCUUGUCCUGUCACUGGGCCCCACUGGAGAGGCUACCUCCAUCUUCUGUACACCCUCCCAUCAGGUAUUUACACACUUUGACAAGCUCCUUCCUGAGCCGCCUCCUGAAACUGAGCAGUCCCAGCUUUCUGGUGAGGCCUAUUUACAGUCGUGGACUACCCUCCUUUGGCAGCACCUGAAUCUUUCUAUCCUACCUCAUGUCCCUAGGCCAGUACUUUCAUCCGGCCUGCCUUUUUUUUACUCAUAACAAAACUUUUAAGCAUGGCGCAUCUACUGCAUACAAUGCAGUAGCAUCUUCCUCCCCCCACAAAGUCCUGAAUAUAUGAAUUGCUUAACUCUCCGAGACUGACUUUUACAUCCCUGAACUGUCAAGGUUUUUUUCAUUUUCGGUGAAUUAUCCAUCUAGCAUGGCUUCACUAGGAUGAAUGAUAAAAUAAUGCAGCUGUUACCAUAUGGGCAUAAAACUCAGGCAGCAACCUGUCACAGAUCAGUGUGAAGAAUGUAGCAAACCCACUGAACUGAAACACAAAGGUAAAAUUCUCUAAAACAGAAAACUUGAGAAAAACAAAAGACGGACAGGCAAAAACAUUUUAGGAGGAUAUUGUGAAAGGUGUCUGGUAACAUGCAUUGCUGUUACUGAAAAAGCAUGAACUUUAGCGACAUACAUGCCCCUCGGUAAGAAUGCUGAGCCCUUGCAGCAGCAGCGUACACCAGAUAACCUCAGGGCUCUACAGAAAAAUCGCAGCCUUGGAACUCCAGAAGCCCAUGACACUUACUUUCAUGUCUUUGGAGAAAAAGUGCAGACCUUUUGAUGGUCUGGCAUAUCUGAUUAUCCCCACUAGAGGUCAUAGAAGUAAUUGCACUUCAGUACACUGCGGGGAGCGUGUGCAACGCAGUGAGCUGCAUUUCCAUGACAAACGGUGGGAUCCUCUACUGCGACUCGAAUAUAACUGUUCUCUGAGAUUAAUAUUAAACUACCGCUACCCAGAUCACUGCAGCUACACAGCAGGUACUGCAUCUAUCUGUAUGCAAAAGUUACUCGUGAGACUCAGCAUCUUACCAACUCCCAAUGAUCAGUAGCUUUGGAGAUGAAGAUAACUGAACUAAUCAGGCACCUAAGUAGAAGAGAAGCCAAACCUGAAUGCAGAACAGUCAGGGGAGCGGACAUUUCAGAAACUGCUGCUGAAAUGAAAUAGCAUCAGUAUAUAUUAACAGAAGAAAUCUAGGUACUAGCUCCCAACACUAACAUUCAACUUCUCUUUCCAGCCUUCAGCUCUAAUUAAACAUUCAGAUAGAAUCACCGAUCUGACUGAUUGCCACCAGUGAUUAACCAGAGAAUAGAGAUUUGUGCUAAUUGCUCUACACUCUUUUCGUCAGUAACUGGCCUGGAAAAAUGCAAAUAAUUGUGUUGUGACUGGUUCCUGCAGUCAGUAUUUCUGAAUUCUUUGCAACUUCCCUUCAGCUUCAGGUUUUGUGGAAGGAUGAAAGGGUAGUGUCGGAAACGCCAGCCAACAUAAAUACCUACUUUACCUUUGUUCAUUAUAGGAUAAUCUUGCUUGCCCUUUCCAUUCACUUCAGAAAUAAGUGGAAUCCUGGCUUUAGUUAGAACUGCAGGUAGGUGCUACACACCGAGGAACUGUUCUGUCCUGCUCUGAAAGACAUUAGAAGCAGCACUGUGGUGGCUGAGCAAAGCAGCUGACAGGCCUCAUCAGAGGAAAUUAAAAGAUCCAGUGGAGGUUUUUAAAACCAGAAUUCUCAGCACUGAUAAGCACUACGGGAUAUACUGGCAGGGAACCAGGGGAAGAUGAGCAAAAAAAAGCUUGUAAAAUGCAGGGUGUAAAGCCUAGUCACAAGGAAAAAUUGUUCGCAAGACACAGCCAAAGGCUUUGGUUUAGCCGUGAGACGGGCUGUGUCACACCUGACUGUGACAGAUGAAGCAGAUCCCUACAUCUCCAACAUACUUAACCCGGGCUAGGCUGGGAAAGCAAAACAACGUAAAAACAAACCACCCAAAAAGCUGAAGCAACAAACCCCCUUCUGUUCUGCCGGGUUACCUUUCAGCCUGGUCAAGUCCCCCCGUCCAGUGCAACACAGCCCACAGCUGCUGUGUUAGCACAACCGAGGGCAGGGGGCAAGGCCAGGCUGCCGCGCCAUGGGUACGGCAGCUUUGCCCACCUCAGAAAUGUUCGCGGAAUCGCUGCCUAAGGACGCUGAGCGCUCACGUUCCUCCUGAUGGCACCAUCAGAAUUUCAGACACUGAGGGAUCUCUCUCAUUCCUGAGCUGAGUUCUGCUUAAGCUGCAUGCAGGCUUGUGGAACCUGAAGCUGGUGCUAGAGAAGCCUGCACGGCCAGUGCCUGUACUGCUAAUGACUAGACUGCCACUGAACGCAGAGCAGGGAGGUGAACGAGGUUAUGAGAUAGCAUCCAGCAUGCUACGUCAUCCGGACCUGGGCUGGAAUAGCUUGAGGCUUACUCUGUUCUGAUGGCUCGGUGGGCUGCCUGGAAGCCAUGACUCAAAGGGACUUGGGAGCUGGAUGGAGCCUAGGCAGCAAAACCUGUCCAGAACAUUAAUCACUGACUUAAUUGAAAGACAUAAAAGAACCAUGUAAACUUAACAGCCCCUUGAAAAUAAUUACAUUCAAGUCUCAUUAAAGAUCCCUUCAUUUGUCACUGAAACGCAGCUAUUUCCACAGUGGAAAUGAAGAGCUGCUUCAUAGCACCAUUCAGUAAUAGGCAGAGAUUGAGAGGAUGAGCUGCAUCUAAUUCUGAAGUUUUAUUGGAAAAGGAGAGUGUCAGGUCUGAAAAAACAGUAAUUGCUCAGAACAGAGUUGGGCCAGCGCACCUCUUGAGAAGAAGCAUUAGUAGUUGGUCCCCGACCGUAAGCAGUUGGAUCCCUUCACUUCAUACUCAUGCAAGUAUCAGACCUGUCAAGUGUAAGUUUAUGUAUCCUAGAAGGGAAGCCAAAUUCCACUCAGCCACAUAUGACAAGAUGAUUUAAACGGCUAACCUUUUAAACAGUACUUGUUUUUAUAGAUACCACAUCUUUACAUCGCUGAACUGGUUCUUGAGUAAUUUUUUAAAUGUGUGAAAUGUUAUGAAUCAGAUGAUACAAAUCAGAAAGCACAGCUCUGCCAAAGUUAUGAACUUUAGUUUUCCAUUUCAUUACAUAAACUAAUAUGAUAUAUCAAAGGACGGUUAGACUCUUAAAUCAUUGUCUGCUCUAUUUGAAUGUAGUUUGAACCAGAUAAGCCUAAAAAUAUAGAGCAAGAACAUAAGUAGGAAAAUGAAAGGUUGCAUUUUACCCUUGACUGACUUUGAAAAUAGAAUAUUACUUCCCCGUUCUUCUUCUUUCCCCCCUCUUCCCCUUUAAUAUUUUAGGGAUUUCACAAGGUGGUUAUCAAAGACUAACUAAGAAUACAUGACUAGGUAGUAAAAAGGAACAGAACUAAAAAUGGAGGUUUAUAACCUAAACUAGAACAGCAACAAAAUCUCUGCUCCGCAGCAGCAAUCUCACAGUACGUAACCAUAAUUUCAGAGUUAAAAAUAGAAAACCAGAGAAGGACGUUACAUUGUUAAAAUGUAGCUGAAAAAUUCAUGAACCUUCUUUAGAACUAGCCAGUCUCUCUAAUGUACUUCAGGGACUGGCAGUUUUGUUCCCAAGUCUGUCUGUCUACAACUGAAGCACUGACAAAGUGGAAUGAAUGCGAGCUGCCUGACUGGGUUAACCCGGACAUGCUGCAGCGCGUCGGCUCGGAGUUCUAUCAUUUAUAAUACAUUACUGUCUUUCCUCAGUCUGCAGCACACAUGCUGUCUUCGUGCGCUCUAGGAGGGCUGUGUCAUGCUCCCCAGCAUGCAGGAGCACAGCACUCGUGGUUGCAUCAAGUAAAACUAUGGCUAUCCAUCCCUCUGGCUAAGAAAGUCUGAUCUCGCACAAAGGAAAGUUAACCUGCUUCAGGGAGGGUGAAGGCAGAGGAAGACAAGGAAAAUACACGCAGUCACUGUGGAUCUACCCCUAAGCCAGAGGACUGUAGCAGAGUCUCAAAGGACGUGCCCAUCUGCUGCGCGGCAGAUUUCCUGGCCCCCUGGCCCUUCAGGACUGCCUCCCAAGGGACUCUGCCCACCAGGCUUUUAAACAGGCCAAAGUCGGCCCUUUGGGAGUCCAAGGUAGUGGUUCUGCUGAGCCCCCUUCCUUACUUCUGCAAGAACUGAAAACUUCAUCACCUCAUGAUCGCUAUGUCCAAGAUGUCCUCCGACCACCACAUCACCCAGCAGUCCUUCCCUGCUGUACAUCUUUCAAUGCCAUCUACUGUAACCACGCUGAAAACACUGCACGUAAUUUUUUCUGUCUUUAUAACAAGAAUGUACUGCUUAUAAUCCUCUUAUUGACUAAAGCAGAUGGAAUCAUUUUCAGUGUCUCUAUCCAAAAAGCAUAAAAGAUUUAAGUCUAAAAGCUGAACAUCCAAACAUAAAUUAUUGUCAGUUGAGAAAAAGAAGUCAACUCAAAUUGGCUUUAGAAUUUCCUAUGCAGCCUUAAUGGAGUGCCUGACAAGGCCUCGUACCCAUCAGCCAAUUUAUGCAUGGGAUCGCACUCAUUUCCAUUAGUCAUAAAUAAAUACGUAUCUUACAGUGUCCCUGUGUGCACAGAUCUAUACUGAAACGGACUCAGCAUCUUCCCCCUCAAAAGAAUGACAAGAAAUGGCCUGGAAGAAUGACUGACGGCCACUAUACACACGUGGGUGAGUGCAACAUACGCCCCUCGGGAUUGCCACCAUAGGGGAACAGUGCCCCUGGGCUGCUGAGCACUUGCUAGGAACAACGGCUGCUUUACACACCUCCCCCCAGAGGAAAAGGGAAGGGGCCUUCAUAAGCACUUUGCUAAUUAAAAAGAGAAAUAAAUAUAAAAAAAAAAAAGCUCCAAAGCAAGAGCUGAAGACAUUAACAUAAUUAGAAUUUCCUUGGAAAGUGCCAGCAUGGAAGUACAUCCAAAGCAGCUUGUCUCCCAGAUUUCACAAUUUGUCCAACUUUUUUGUCUUGUGGGAUUGAGGUGUUGGGGUUUUUUGGAGUGGCAGUAUUGAUGUAAACCGCCAAGCAGAGUCAUUUUGAGUAUAAUAAUCAUCAUAAUGGAGGCAAAUAUUUGUGACAACUACUAAGAGAGAAGAUAAAUAUCCUUGCAGCCUCCUAGUGAGUUCUCAGCUACAGUAGAAGCACUAGUGUAUUAAAUAUGGUCUGAAAUAAAAUAGAAAGGUCUGAUUAUUCAGUCUAAUUUGGUAUUUCACAGAUGAACAAGGUCUAUGGGAUGUGCAGACAGGAAAACUACUUGACCUCUGGAAUAUUACAAGCCCUGUAAUUCUGCAUAAAAACAUUCCUUUGUGUGGCCAAAUACUGUAGCUACUUUUAGACUGUUCCAUUUUCAAGGGUAUAUUAUAUUGUGGUGACUCGGCCUGAGCAGCUACGUGGCAGCCCUGCAGGAAAGCAACACUUGAGCGUUCUUUUCAGCCUGCAACGUGGAUCUUGGCAGAAAAGUUCCACUUCCGCCAAACCAAGUCAGCACUUCACACUAAAUACAGAAGAAAUUUCUAAAUUCACAUUUACGAAGAAAAUAAAAGUCAGCAAAUAAGCCAGAGUGGCUCCUUCCCCAGGAGCCUGACUUAAGUUCACCUCACCUGUUCUACCUUUGUAGCUUUGUGUCAAUUCACAGGGUAAUUCACUGAAUUACCCUUCUGUAGGGAACUACUUCCAAUACUGCUUUCUAAAAAUCAUUGUAUAGUGUUAGUUGUGUCACGGACCACUCUUCUAUGUCUGAAAAUUUAUAUGAAGGCAGUAUCUAAAUAUAUUUAUAAGUUCCCAAUGUUUUAAAACAGGGUAAUUAUUAUAGGAGGAAAAAGUUGUAUGUGAUACCCUGUUAAACUCUGAUGUUACCUAGAGGUAAAGUUAAAACUGAGAGAACAUACCUGUGGUUCUUAAAAUUAUAUAAUUUUAUAUAUAACUUAAUAACUUUUAUAACUUAAAGUGUCUUAAUUAUAUAAUUUUUGACAAACAAAUCAACGUUUUUCAAUAUUAUGCUGACAUAUGCAAAAUAUAUUCCAAUUCUCAGUACAUCUGCAGAGGUUAAGUCAUCAAACCAGUCAAACCUUCGGAGGCUAGGAGUGGAUCCUGAUCACAGUUUGUUACACCUCUAACAUUUUGUUAGCUCUUGGGGUGCGAGGGUAUAAAAAGCUCAUUACAGAUGAGCAAGAGGCUUUCUUUUGCAAAGAGGAAAGCCUGUUAGGGUUCCGUUUGAAAUUCAGAAUGCCAGUUUCUACUGCAACGUAUUUACAUUUGUCCCCUACCUGUAAAUUAAAUAAGUGCAAAACUGACAGUUCUGAAUUUUUAUUUUCAGUUAAGAGCACUGACUGUGUGAAGUACACAAAAGCGCUUGACAUCAAGUAGUUCUAAUAAAGAUUUCACUUCUAUGCCAUA
Long non-coding RNA from Falco peregrinus (peregrine falcon), 8421 nucleotides. RefSeq lists it as uncharacterized. Lineage: Eukaryota; Metazoa; Chordata; Aves; Falconiformes; Falconidae. The transcript has 5 exons. The record is from RefSeq and is a predicted model, not a curated record.